RNAcentral lists this ribosomal RNA (272 nucleotides) under uncultured bacterium. RNAcentral describes it as "partial 16S ribosomal RNA". The record is from RNAcentral.
CUGCUGCCUCCCGUAGGAGUUUGGGCCGUGUCUCAGUCCCAAUGUGGCCGUUCACCCUCUCAGGCCGGCUACUGAUCGUCGCCUUGGUGGGCCGUUACCCCUCCAACCAGCUAAUCAGACGCGGGUCCAUCCUGUACCACCGGAGUUUUUCACACUGUACCGUGCGGUACUGUGCGCUUAUGCGGUUUUAGCACCUAUUUCUAAGUGUUAUCCCCCUGUACAGGGCAGGUUACCCACGCGUUACUCACCCGUCCGCCACUAAGAUAAACAGG